Molecule: RNase P RNA, 423 nt
Filed under: Firmicutes bacterium HGW-Firmicutes-13
Lineage: Bacteria; Bacillati; Bacillota
Description: RNase P RNA component class A
Rfam family: Bacterial RNase P class A
About the family: Ribonuclease P (RNase P) is a ubiquitous endoribonuclease, found in archaea, bacteria and eukarya as well as chloroplasts and mitochondria. Its best characterised activity is the generation of mature 5'-ends of tRNAs by cleaving the 5'-leader elements of precursor-tRNAs. Cellular RNase Ps are ribonucleoproteins.
Source: RNAcentral
GAAGCAGACCGGGUAGUCGCGAGGACAGUGUCCGUAAGGAGGUUCUCGAGGAAAGUCCGAGCUCCACAGGGCAGGGUGCUGGGUAACACCCAGUGGGGGCGACCCUAAGGAAAGUGCCACAGAAAAAAACCGCCCAUUGAGAGGUGAGAGGUGGGAGGUUAGAGGUGAGAUGCAUGCAAGUGUCCCACUUCCAACUUCUCACAUCUCACUUCCCAAUUGGUAAGGGUGCAACGGUGCGGUAAGAGCGCACCAGCGGUUAGGUGACUAACCGGCUAGGUAAACCCCACCCGGAGCAAGACCAAAUAGGAGAGGAUGAAGCGGCCCGCUGAUCUCUCGGGUAUGGUCGCUGGAGGUGUUAGGUAACUAACAUCCUAGAUAGAUGACUGCUCAAGACAGAACUCGGCUUACAGGUCUGCCUUCCUA